RNAcentral lists this ribosomal RNA (407 nucleotides) under uncultured bacterium. RNAcentral describes it as "partial 16S ribosomal RNA". It matches the Rfam family "Bacterial small subunit ribosomal RNA", at positions 30 to 526 of the family's 1533-position model. The record is from RNAcentral.
AUUGAACGCUGGCGGCAGGCCUAACACAUGCAAGUCGAACGGAGUGGCGGACGGGUGUGUAAUGUCUGGGAAACUGCCUGAUGGAGGGGGUUAACGUCCGGAAACGGGCGCUAAUACCGCAUACUCUCAGGUGAGCCUAGGUCGGAUUAGCUAGUUGGUGGGGUAAAGGUCUACCAAAGCGACGAACCGUAACUGGUCUGUGAGGAUGAUCACUCACAUUGGAACUGAGACACGGGCCAGACUCCUACGUGAGGCAGCAGUGGGGAAUAGUGGACAAUGGGCGAAAGCCUGAUCCAGCCCGGCCGCGUGUGUGAAGAAGGUCUUCGGAUUGUCAAGCACUUUAAGUUGGGAGGCGUUACCAACAGAAUAAGCACCGGCUAACUUCGUGCCAGCAGCCGCGGUAAUAC